Molecule: non-coding RNA, 787 nt
Filed under: Perittopus sp. HL-2012
Lineage: Eukaryota; Metazoa; Arthropoda; Insecta; Hemiptera; Veliidae
Source: RNAcentral
UUAUGGUUAUGACGUUCCAUAUGAUUUUUUUUUCUUAAAAGUUUGAUUCUUGCUUUUCAAUUAGGAUUUUGAAUUUUUUAUAUGUAAGAUUUUUCUGUUUUUUCUAAAUGAUUAUUUAUUUUUCAGUAUUUAUUUUUAGUUUUUAAUUAAUGUUAAAACUAGGAUUUUAAUUUUUGACUGACAAAAAUUGUGCCAGCCGUCGCGGUUAAACAAUUAGUUAAAUUUUAUUUUAUUGGGUUUACAUUAGUUUUUUUUAUUUUAAGUUAAUUUUGAUUUUUUAGGUGAAAUUUUUAUUUGAUAUAAAUUUAAUGGUUAAAUAUUUUAAUGUGUGAAAAUCAUAAAUAAACUAGGAUUAGAUACCCUAUUAUAAUGAUUGUAAAUUUUUCCUUAAUAUUAAUAGUUUUGUUCUUUAAAUUAAAAGAAUUUGGCGGUAAUUUAAUCUUUCUAGAGGAACCUGUUUUUUAAUUGAUAAUCCACGAUUGAUUUUACUUUAAUUUUGUUUAUAUAUCGCUGUCAUUGAAUGUGUUAUAAGGUAAUUUUCUUUUAAUUUUAUGAAUUUAAUGUUAGGUCAAGAUGUAGCUAUAUUAAAGUAUUGAUGGGUUACAUUUAUUUUAAUAAUGGAUUAUUAUUUGUAAUUAUUAAUAUGAAAUUGGAUUUAGGUGUAAUUUUUUUUAAAUUAUAGAUUUGAUUUUAGUUCUAAAUUAUGUACACAUCGCCCGUCACUCUCAUUUUAAGUUGAGAUAAGUCGUAACAAAGUAGGCCUACCGGAAGGUGGGCCUGGUAAGUU